Sarcophilus harrisii (Tasmanian devil) is the source of this 3373-nucleotide long non-coding RNA. Lineage: Eukaryota; Metazoa; Chordata; Mammalia; Dasyuromorphia; Dasyuridae. The record is from Ensembl.
AGCCACUGUAGGCCUUAUGAUAGUUUUUGUGAUUACUAAAAACAUCUAAAUUGAUAUUUUUGGAAAAGGAUUUAUCCCACUAAUUUCUCCAGGGACUAGAAGUAAGCAGUGCAGAUUUUUAAAGACUCCUUUUUGAGAGAAUGAGAGAAGACUGGAGCUUUUUGAUCUAGAGAACACCUGAAUUGUAACUAAUCAAAAAAACAGUAUAAUUGGGAUGAGUAAAUUAAUGAAGACAAUCACCUGGGUUGAAAUUAACUGUAAGCUUGGGAAAGUAAGCUUAUAGGUAUGAUCAUCAAGAAAUGCUACUGAGCCAGUGAUCCAAUGGCCAGUGACUGCAGGUGGUUUGUCUCAUGAGGAAACUGGGAGAAUGACUCUGAAGGCAUUGGCUGAAGCAAAAGUAUCCUGAUUUAAUUUCCCGGUAUACUAUUUCCUCUUGAACCGAAAGUUUCCUCUCUGGAUGACUAUUCUCCCUUCGGCCUACUGUUGGAAGUAUCUAAAUCAAUUACCUGGAUAGAGGUAAAAAGGAAUAUGGGGGAAAAAUGCAAAUUCUCUGGUCAAGAGGAUCCUAAUUUGAUGUUUUUAUUAGAGAUAUAAGGUUUGGACUAGUUAUUACCACAUUACCUGGUUAUUGCCAAAGCAAACUUGAAGUGACUAUAUUGAAGUGCAUUAAGAUCUAUUUAUAAGAUAUUUUAACAGAAAUGAGCAUCUCUGCAAGUGAUCCGAACUGAAGAAGCAGAUGCACUAGAAAAAGCUCCUCUGAAAUCCCACCUAGGUCAGAAUGCAUAAGAAGAAAGUCCAGAGGAUUGAGUUAGUAGCUGCUCUCAAAAACCAUACAAUUGUGUAAGGGAAAAAAAAAAUCUACGCGAUGAUGAUGGACUAAUUGAAUGAAGAGUGGGAAUGGGUUACUGAGAAAGAAACUGCACCAUUCAUUGUUCUUUGUAAGAUCUCUGCUAAAAGCGACUGCCCCCAACAACUCUUGUCAAUGCACUGGUCAGUCUCUCCCCCUCUUCUUCUUGUGUUAUUUUCCAUCAUAAACUCCAUGAUUAAAAAUCCUUAAUGAAGUGUUUGUCAUAUCAGUUAGUGAUUCAUGGAGGAAACUGCAUUUCUCAAGUGAAAGGGGAGAAUGAGGAAAAAUUAAUUUUAUUAUAACUAAUUACUAAUUUGCAAUUUACCCUUUUCCUCAUUUCUGUUAAGAUUCAAUUUCUGAAAAGGCCAUUCUCUGAAGAACAUGAAUGAUUAUUAUUCCUAGUUCCCCAAGGCACAUGCUUAUUAAUGAGGUUCCCAAUUGGGAAACCUAAUUUCUGUUUAGAGUGUACAGAAUCCAGUCAAGGUAGACUUUGCCUUGGGGAAGAAUCCCCUGACUUUGAUCCCCUCCAUUAGAGUUUAGGGCAACCCAGCUUAUGAAGGAGAAAACUAACCAGAAAACUCUGGAUUAAAAUGGCUUUUUCUGCCCAGAGGUUUUGAGGCUUCAGGGUCAUGAUCAAACUACAUUCUCAGCAGAAAGAACUGAAGAUUAAAAGUCUACUUUAUUCUUUAUUAUUCUUUUUCUUAUUUUUAUUGAUUGAUUGUUAAUACUUUAUAUUUAUUGUGAUAAUUAUUUUAAAUAUAUUUUAUUUAUUCUUUAUUAAUCUUUAUUAAAUGUCCACUGAUUAACAUUGAAUUUCACUCAUUCCCUGCUGAAAGGCACCCACCUGAUUUAAGGUGAUUCAGAGCCUCCUUUUGGGUCUUUGGUUAUGAGAGAAAUGGCAGACCAUUCAUUUAUUGAGUAUAGGCCAGCCUGGUUAAUAAAUUGAGUAUCAAUUACCAAGAAACUCGGUCACUUGGAGAUUUUAUAUCAUGUUGUCCAGUAACAGGGAUUACAGUUGUAUCAUCAGGUUUGCACCCAAGCUUUUUUCCAAGGUGAACCCACAUUGGUGCUCUAUGCUCACCGUCAAAUUAAAUGGCCCUUGUCCCUCCUCCUUACGUACAAUCAUCUGCACUUCCUAAGGCCCCACUCCAAGAGCUGGUGACCCCCAUCACUGCCCUUUAUGCUUUUUUAAUAUUCUGUAUAUUCCGAUUCAACAAGUCAGAGGGUGGAGCUUCCUUUAAUGACAGAGAAUCACCCUGCCUGAGUCAUGACUUUAUAACAAAGAUUUUUCUGACUUAUACAUUUUGAGAGUGAGGCUUUUCCCCACAAUUAUUCUUAGAAGACCUAUUAUUCAUUCUAAAUUUCUUGACUUUUCCUGGAUAUUUUUACUUCUUCUGUUAGAAUACUAAUUUUAGUCCUAAUGUUCACCCUUAUUUUUCCUUUAAUUCUUUUAUUACCUUCCUGAUUCAUUCUUGAGCUAGAAAUUUUAUUUGUUUUUGAUUAAAAUGGCUUAGAACCUGGAAAAUAGAUCUCCUGAAAGAAACACCUUUGCAAAGUCUGCCCUAAAAAAGCUCUGUUCCAAAUACUGCUGGCCAAGGGCCCAAUUAAAGAUGCCAAGUUCGGGAUUCAAAGAUAUGGAUCAAAAUAGACAAUAUAUGAGAAAUUGUGAUAGAAUUUCCAAGAGAAUAAUGCUUCUGAGAAACAGACAAAUUCCUCAAGCUCUUCUGAGACUCCAGUCCUGGAAGCAUCCUGAUGAAAGAAGUAGUUCUUCAUUUCUCUUCAUCCUUGUUUGAGUUUGGGUCAUUUUUGUACUGAAUCCACAUUUUGAUUUUAUGGACACUCCGGGAUAUAGUAGAAAAUCGAAGGCACUGAUAUCCUAAUUUUUCCCUUUCCUUUUGAGUUCCCCAUACCCAAUAAAAAUUGUAACUCCGGAAAGGUCUUUGAUUGCAUACUGGUACAAUUGUAUUGUAUUCUUAUGUGAUGCUUCCAAGGAAGUAUCACAGAGUGGAACUUAAAAACCAUAUCACAGUAGAUCACAGCUUUGGAGGUGAUCCUUGUUAUUCUACAUUCCAUAAACUGAGAAAUAUACAUAUCCUGUUUCCUAAGGAUAUUUUGUUUUAGAAAUGUUUCCUUGAGUUAAACUGCAUCUAACCCAUUCCUGAUGUUCAUUUAAAUUAUUUGCUGAAGGAUGCUACCUGAAUGUGUAUAUAGAAAAAAUACAUUUUUCCUCUGCUCAGGUAUAGAUUUUUAUCUAAGUCUAUAGGGUUAAAUGAAUAAGGAUCUUAUUCACUUAAUCUUUGGACUCCUGCUUAUCAACCUCAGUGAUUCCAUUUGGUCAGUUCCUAAUUUAAUUCAACACAACUGUAAAAGCUUUAAUUUUUUUUUUUUGCAGUCCAAUUUUUUUAUUGCAGUCAACAACAUUGCAAAUUUAAUAUUCAAUCAUUUGUUAAUGUCAUUAAAAUCAGCAAGAAUAUAUUCUUCAUAGUUUUCUUUAAUUUUUAAAAUUUUAAUUUCUAAUAAUGUAGC